This 251-nucleotide ribosomal RNA is filed under the name uncultured bacterium. RNAcentral describes it as "partial 16S ribosomal RNA". It matches the Rfam family "Bacterial small subunit ribosomal RNA", at positions 524 to 776 of the family's 1533-position model. The record is from RNAcentral.
UACGGGGAGGGCAAGUGUUAUUCAUUGGAAUUUCGGCGUAAGGGGUACGUAGGCUGUUUUAAAAGUUAAAUAUGAAAUCCCAUAUGAAAUAUGGAAGUGUAUUUAAAACUAUAAACUUUGAGUAUAUAGAGGAUAACAGAAUUUUUAGAGUAAAGGUGAAGUUUUAAGAUACUAAAAGGAACGUUUAGAGGCUAAUGCAGUUAUCUGGGUAAUACUGACGCUAAGGUACGAAAGCGUAGGGAGCAAACAGG